RNA transcript from Gossypium raimondii (Peruvian cotton), 1394 nucleotides. It is a transcript of the gene named COP9 signalosome complex subunit 5b, with no coding region annotated. The record is from RefSeq and is a predicted model, not a curated record. The transcript has 6 exons. NCBI's taxonomy places the organism in Eukaryota, Viridiplantae, Streptophyta, Magnoliopsida, Malvales, Malvaceae.
UUUCGAUCCCUUUCUUUCAGGUUGGUUGAUAUAUAGAAUAAGAAAAAGCAUGGGCAUGGGAAUGGCCUUGGGUCAGUAAGUUGCGAGUGCGAGUGCAAGUACAGAAGAAUGGAUUCCGCAAUAGCCCAGAAAACAUGGGAGUUAGAGAACAAUAUACUAGCAGUGGAAGCGCCUGACCCUUCAUCCGACUUCAUAUUUUACUACGACGAGGUGGCUCAAGCCAUGUCCCUCAAAGCCAAGCCUUGGGGCAAUGAUCCCCACUUUUUCAAACGCGUUAAGAUCUCCGCCCUCGCUCUCCUCAAGAUGGUCAUCCACGCCCGCACUGGUGGCCCCAUUGAGGUCAUGGGCCUCAUGCAAGGCAAGACCGGUGGCGAUGCCAUCAUUGUCAUGGACGCCUUUGCUUUGCCUGUUGAAGGCACAGAAACCAGGGUCAAUGCUCAGGCCGAUGCCUACGAGUAUAUGGUCGAUUAUUCCCAGACCAACAAGCAGGCUGGUCGAUUAGAGAAUGUUGUUGGAUGGUACCAUUCUCAUCCAGGGUACGGUUGCUGGCUCUCUGGAAUCGAUGUUUCAACCCAAAUGCUUAACCAGCAAUUUCAGGAACCUUUCCUGGCGGUUGUAAUUGAUCCAACCAGGACUGUUUCUGCUGGAAAAGUCGACAUUGGUGCUUUCAGGACAUACCCUGAAGGUUAUAAACCUACUGAUGAUCCCAUCUCAGAGUACCAAACCAUUCCUCUCAACAAAAUCGAAGACUUUGGCGUCCACUGUAAACAGUAUUAUGCUUUGAAUAUCACUUAUUUCAAGUCCUCUCUUGAUUGUCAUCUCUUGGAUUUGUUAUGGAACAAGUACUGGGUCAAUACCCUUUCUUCUUCACCUCUUCUUGGCAAUGGAGAUUAUGUUGCUGGACAACUUUCAGAUUUAGCUGAAAAGCUGGAGCAAGCAGAGAAUCAUUUGACACAUUCUCGUAUUGGUCCCCUGGGGACCUCUCGAAAGAAGAUACCAGGAAGAAUCACAUCUUGGUAAGAUUACGAGAGAUAGUUCAAAGAUAACAGUAGAGCAAGCCCAUGGUUUAAUGUCACAGGUUAUCAAAGACAUCCUUUUCAACUCGGUUAGACAGUCAAAAUAGGUGUGUGGUGAGGCUAUCAGCCAAAGAUGAAAUGAUUACAGCUUGAGAGACCCAUUUUUAACAAGAAAAAAGGGAAAUUGAUUGCAGGCUGAAUAGCUUUGUAAAUCCUUAGUUGUGGUGGUCUUCUUGGAACUAAGCUUUUUCAUUCUUGGACUUUUUUUUUAUUUUUUUCUUAAGUAGGUUUCAUGAAUAUGUUGAAAUCUUAGAAUUGAUUUCUCUGACUCUUCUGUGCUUUGCUAAUGCUUUUUAAUUAGAAUUUUUUUUCAAACCA